CCCUUUUAAAUGUCAUGAACCAUUACCCUUUUAAUUGUCAUGAGCUGUUACACGUUUCCACAGAUGGCAGACUUUGCGGCAGACCCACGCAGCAGAAGUGAUUGUUCUACAAAGGAAUACUGGAUUGACGGGCUCCGCUGUGACAAAGGGUUAAAGUUGAUGAGAAAAUGUUCUAGUGGCGUGGCAUCUCAGUGUGAGAAAUGUUCAGAAGGGAUAUACCAAGACGGGAGGGAUAUACCCAAGAUGGACUAAGUAUAAUACAGUUUCAUUUUUCUUUCAUGACUUCUGUAAUGAAAUAAAAAUGUCAGUUAUGUAUAUUUUGCUGUGUUGAUUUUGUUAAGAUGUUCACUCUUUGUUCUUUGACUUGUUCUGUGACUUAUGCAGUGGUGAUUUCACCGUAUACACCCCAAAAUAAUCAGUCUGGAUACUUCAAAAAGUCCUUUUUAUAGCAUUUCAUGGGGGUGUGUGGCCUUUAAAAGGACUGUUUUUGUAUGACUAAAACAUAAUAAGCAGGGAAGCCUUAGUAAUUAUGUGAAUGUAACCAUAUAUUAUUGCCAAAGAACACAGAUGUGCCUUCAGCAUAGACAAAUACCUCUGACAAAAAAACAUUUAUUGUAAUGUGACUUGACUUGUAAAAAAAAAUCUAUUUUUAUGAUAUUCAUACAAGAGCAAAAUACAUUUUAGCCCCUGUCCAAGCUAUGGCUUUUACAUAAUAGUAAAUUAUGAAAAGGAGCGACAGCAUCAAGCUGGGAAACACAAAGGUGCUACUAUCCUGAAUGCACGUACUCGUUUCUGGUAAUGUCAUUUGUCUAAAUAGUCUUUGUCAGAUCUUAAUGCAACAUUCAAUAGAUACUUUCACAAAGAAUACAAAGACUAUUUUUAGGAUGUCUGGACCUAGUAAUUAACCCAGAUGAUUCAUUCUGUCAUUAUAAUUCUAGUUUAUAAAUUCUAUAGUAUUUUGGCAUGGUCAUGGUUACUAAACUUACUUUUAAAACAAAAGUCACUGAGUCAAGCCCAAUGGGUGUGGACUGAUGAUGCGAUAACUCGUGCACACUUUCUUUCCAUUUGUAAUCUUUUCUAGUUCAUCUAGUUUGCUUGACGUCAUCAUUUACUCGCCCACGUCAUUCCAAAACUGUAUGACUUUCUCUCUUUUUUGCAGAUUUUAAAAGUGGUUCUGAGAGAAAAAAAAGUCCCUUAACAAACUAAACCCUGUUUAAUAAAAAAAUUAAAAUAAUAUUUUUUAUAAUAAACAUCUUGUUCAUGCAGUAUCUUGAUUUUUCAAUGUGAUGUCCAUUUUAUUUGUAUAGUACCUUUUCGAUACACAUUGUUUCAAUGCAGCUCUACAGAAAUUCAUUGUUUAUAAUACCUUCAUAUCGAUGCUUAAUGGACCACAUUUAGCACAAUUCAUGCCAUAAUACUUUUAUCUUCAGUCCCUUAAUAAGCCACUAUGGCAAAAAUCCAGUUUGAUGUUGAAUAAUGAAAAGAAAAAAAAUAUUAAUGUCAGUUAAUAAGUUAUGUACGGUGCCCGUAUGGUGACUUGUUCGGUUUACUUCAUUUUGUCAUGGCCACGACCUAAUAACUUGUGGGAACGUGAUAAUAUGUCGUGGCCAAAAGCGGAGCGGACAGCGUGUUUCAUUGUCUCGCCACCAUGCUAGUUGAUCUGCUGUAGAGUCAAUUGGUUGUUCUUGGAAAUAGCGGGUUAACUCCGUGUCAGCACGUGCUCUGAUCGGUAAAGGGGCAGAGAUUUCAGACCUCCGUUUAUUAAGGAGAUCUGUCACAAAACUCAUCAUCCGCGCCAACGUUUUUUGAGCAAAUUUCAAAGACGCACCCGCCCGCCAUCCGCUGAUUGUUUUGCGGUCUAUGGACGAUGCAAUGCUUUGCUGAUGCGAGCCGCAAAAAAAAGCCAUUGUCUGUUCUAGAAAGGAUGCAGCAAAGAUAUUUAAUGCUAGAGUAUGAGGCAUAGGCCUACGCUGAGUUUCAUUUAGGAUGAGAUGCGCUCUAGUUCACAGUGCAGUGCAAUUGAACGCGGCGCGCUGGUGCUUCCAUGUCACGGUUAUCAUUGUCUGCUAUAUUUGCCUUUUAUUUAUUAAAAUACAUGCAAUUGGUUGAUGAAACAUUUAUUAAAAUUAAGAUAAAAUUUGUACAAAACGAAAUUAGUUUUUAAGAAAGGUUUUCUACAAAUCAAAAUUUAAUGAAGUGGUAAAUAUCAUGUCUGAUGAUUUACAAAACUUCAUUAAGUGGUAAAAACCAUGUCUCCCGAUAUAUUGCGCAUCUUAUGAUCCUAUCUAAAAAAUUAAAAUAAUUUUUGAUAAAAAAUGUUUGUAAAAAUAUUUUAAUGACAUGGUUAUACACUAACCGUCACACCCCUAUUGUUCCCUCAACAUAGCAUCUCGAGGCCACGACAUAAGGAUGUCAUUAACUCGACAAAAUGAUCUCGUGGCCACGACAUAUUAUCACGUUCCCACGAGUUAUUAUGUCGUGGCCACGACAAAACUAAGUAAACCGAACAAGUCACCUUAUGGGCACCGUAGCUAUGUUACUAUAUUGAUUGAUCAAUAAAAUAAAGGAUUAAGUGUAUUUGCGGUCAUUCCACAAAUUAAUUUAAAAUAUGCAGAUACAUGUGAUUUGUCCAUUGCUGGAAAAUGAUGGGAUCAAUGAUCCACAAUGCCUCAAUAGUUGGCUUUAGUUUGAAACAAAUGACUAUUUUCUUAUAACUUAGAGUGUCAACAUAACCUUGACAAAACAUCAUAAUUUCUGAGCAGGAACUUGUGCACUGUCGCUGGAGAAAUUAACUUCCCUUAUUUCCUGGAAUAAGUCACAUUUGGUGUAUGCUUGUUUAGUACAUUUCCUUUUGGCCCAAAAUGUGUAUAAAAAAAAAAACAUAUGAAUUGAAAAUGUAUUGCAUGUUACAAUGCAUAACCAUCAUUGGGGUCAAAAUAAAUACAUUUAUGUUUAUGAAUCGGUUUAUUUAAUAAUUUGUUUUUAAUUAGUUUAUUGAUCAUUGACAAUCAGCCAUAUAUUAUAUUAGAGAUGUUCGUGGAACAGAGGUUUAAAUAUUCUUUAUUCUGAGACAUGAGACAGGAAUUCCUCUUUUUGGAGUAAAGGUUUUUCCCAGUUCAGUUCCUCAUAGUGAUGACUAAACCUGACUGGACCGGUUUAAAGUUUUGUAAUUGGGACAUUUAUUGUACCCCGCAUAGUUUUGUGGUUAGAGGAUGAGUAAUUUGUCUACUUAAAUAAGAACCUGUAAGGGCUUCCAUUCCACUCGUUCUUUCAGUUUGAAGGAAACAGGAGCAACUCUAACAUUAGAUCCCGGAGGACGGAGAAGGGUUGACUGCAUCCAUGAUAAGAAGCAUGUUUCACAUCCAAGGACAACGAAGUUGGAAACUCCUGCUGUGUAUUUUGUCAUCAUUGAUCGUAGGCGUUGUGAUGGGGCAGCGCAGCGUCGGCAGCAAAAGUGAUUGUGCUAAAAAUGAAUACUGGAGCGACGGGCUCUGCUGUGACAAAUGUGCUCCAGGGUAUAAGUUGGUAAGAAAAUGCACUAGAGACUUGCCAUCUCAAUGUCAGAAAUGUGAGAACGGGACAUUCCUAGACAAAAUGAAUUAUUUCCCAAACUGCUUCAGAUGCGAGAAAUGCACCAAGCCAUAUGCGGUGGUGAUUUCACCAUGUACACCCCAAAAUAACACCGUGUGUGGAUGUCAGUCCGGAUACUUCAAAAAGUCCUUUGAUAGCAUUACAUGGGAAUGUAAAAAAGAAAGGAAAAAAUGGCAUGGCAGGAACCAUUAUUGUGUUCGCUCAAAAAUUGAUGGGAUAUUAGCCUGAAGUAUGACUCAAGAACACAGCUCUACAUCCAGAAGAGGCGUCAUGCCCUUUCAUGCCCAUUCAUGCCCAUUCAGAUUUUAAAGCCAAGUGGAUUUUGAAUGCAGCUUCCAAAAGCAAAAAUAAGCGAUUUAUAUUUUCUGCUGUGUGAGAAUGUUCAGCGAGUCAUAUCAUUAGCUGCUAAAUUCAGAUCUGCAUUCGCUGGCUGGCGCGCUUUUACAGGACUGCACAUAAUUAUCACCAAUCACACAAGAUUCUGUUGAGCUUGUUAAAGCAUUAGCCAAUCAAAGGUGUUCCGAUGAGUCACCUGAAUACCUCUUUCUGGCAAAUUCUCUCGUCAGAAACAACAAAGAGCAGAUGUGUGUGCGAAUCUUUAAAUAAGAUAUUAAUUUCACAGUAUUAACAGUUUCAAUGAUUUUAAUGGGAGUUUUUGAGAUUGAUUUAACUCUAGACUGUCAGUGAAAAUUUUCUUUGCUCUCUUUCUUUACAAUGAAAUAUUAAUAGCCUAACUUACAACGUUUUUAUUAUAAAGGCAGUCAUAUUAAAAUAUAUUAUGGCAUGACACCCAUAUCUUUUACUUAAGUAAACAGACAGGUUUUUAUACUUAUUUAAUAUAUUACAUUAUUAGGCUACUUUGACACUCGUAUAUUAUCAAAUAAAUAAUCAAUGAAGGUGAGAAUCGAGAUAUUUCAUGGUAUAGUUAAUAUGUCUGGGAAUGUUACUAAUAAAAAUUACAAAUAUAAAUAAUGCUUAAUAAUAAUUUGCCAAUAUGCUGUUGUGGCCACUGUGUGUCACAUGACGACCCCCCCCCCCCCAACCCACUCAUGCCCUCUCAAAAAUAAUGAGUGCAUGACCCCUCUGACCUCCAGCAUGAACAAAUACCUCUGACAAUAAAUGAGAUUCUUGUGAGAAAGACUGAGUUGGGUGAAAGCCUACUGUAUACAAUCUAUACCAUGUUCCUCUUGACUGGUAGUUCAUGAUUUUAUUAUUAAGUAAAAGGCCUUUUAGUAUAAUUAUUUAAAAAAAUCCACCUUCAGGUCAUGGAACAUAACUUUUAUAAGGUUAGUAAAAAUAUUUCAAGACAAGCAUUUACUGGACUGAAAAAAAAUUAAAUUUUUGGGUUCAUCUAAUUAUUCAUAUGAAUGUAAUGGAAGGUUCUUAUACAUUAUAAGAUGACUAUUAGUUUUUUUCACUCUGUAAUCACGCACUUUACAGUAUUUAAGUGGUGUACUUUUAAAGGUAUCAAACAAAAGACUUGAACAUUUCUUUGUACUGUACAUAUCUCAAUCAUUGUAUUGCAUUAUAUUUUUUUAAAUAAAAAAUGACAACUGA
This is a long non-coding RNA of Carassius gibelio (silver crucian carp), 5148 nucleotides long. RefSeq lists it as uncharacterized. Lineage: Eukaryota; Metazoa; Chordata; Actinopteri; Cypriniformes; Cyprinidae. The transcript is spliced from 6 exons. The record is from RefSeq and is a predicted model, not a curated record.